This is a non-coding RNA of Populus trichocarpa (black cottonwood), 146 nucleotides long. The record is from Rfam. NCBI's taxonomy places the organism in Eukaryota, Viridiplantae, Streptophyta, Magnoliopsida, Malpighiales, Salicaceae.
UAAUUAUUUAGGGCAUAUACUCAUCUAGUUGUCGCAAACUCACACAUAAAUACUCAAAAUCAUCAAUUAUUGCAUACCCAACUACAUCAGAAGAGACGAAAUAGAUAGAGAUCAAAGGGGGAUGGUGAUUGGUGGAAGAAAUAGGG